AUUGAACGCUGGCGGAAUGCUGUACACAUGCAAGUCGAACGGCAGCACGGACUUCGGUCUGGUGGCGAGUGGCGAACGGGUGAGUAAUGUAUCGGAACGUGCCCAGUCGUGGGGGAUAACGUAGUGAAAAUUACGCUAAUACCGCAUACGAUCUAUGGAUGAAAGCGGGGGAUCGCAAGACCGUGCGUGAUUGGAGCGGCCGAUAUCAGAUUAGGUAGUUGGUGGGGGAAAGGCCCACCAAGCCAACGAUCUGUAGCUGGUGUGAGAGGACGACCAGCCAACCUGGAACUGAGGAACGGUCCAGACUCCUACGGGAGGCAGCAGUGGGGAAUUUUAGACAAUGGGCGCAAGCCUGAUCCAGCCAUUCCGCGUGCAGGAUGAAGGCCCUCGGGUUGUAAACUGCUUUUGUACAGAACGAAAAGGUUUCUACUAAUACUAGGAGCUCAUGACGGUACUGUAAGAAUAAGCACCGGCUAACUACGUGCCAGCCGCCGCCGUAA
RNAcentral lists this ribosomal RNA (500 nucleotides) under uncultured bacterium. RNAcentral describes it as "partial 16S ribosomal RNA". It matches the Rfam family "Bacterial small subunit ribosomal RNA", at positions 30 to 523 of the family's 1533-position model. The record is from RNAcentral.